AUACAGUAUAUAUAUAAAAAAUAUUAUAAAUAUUAUAUAUAUUUAUACAAAAAUCAGUAAUACAAGAUGUGAUACAAUUCGAAACAUUCCGGUCGGUAAUAUUUACGAUUGGCCCGAUCAGCGUAUUACACAAGUCGAAUCGAAUGGCUCGAAGGCUGCGCGAGCAUGUUUAUGUUUUCGGCCUAAAAAAUUCUCGAACGUUAAAUCGUAGGUUAAGGAGUUAAAUGUAGAAGCUACCGUUAUUAGAAUAUAUAUCGCCGGGCCGAGAAUUAGAAUUUCGCGAAUCUCAAGUUCAAGCAAUCCCUCGUAUAACAUGUACGAGAAACUUUAACGCGACAUAUUAAUUUUGACAUAAUUACUGUGAUUAACAUAACCGCGCGGUGUCGUUGCAAUGGUAAUGGAAAUCGGUAUCGUUAAAACAGAAGAAAAUAGAAUAUGAUUAUUGUUGUAUCACUCACCCUGUCAUUUGUGGACCAUUUCGCCGUCAGCGUCUGCGGAGGCCCAUGUUUUUUCAUAUGAGCCAAUGUCGUAAGCGGCUUGUACCGAUUUUGGUGCAGGCAGUCACUGAAGUAUUGGUCCGCCAUACCGGAUGCAGAGUUUUCCAGUGCCUCGUUAAAACUGAUACCCUUCUGGCACUGCGUUUCGCACAGCAGAAAUCUUGCGUGCCGAGUGUACAAUGAGUACCAGAGGUGUACUUCGGCGGGUGGUUUCCAGAUCGGUUCGUCCUGCUCGCCGUAUUCUACGAGGGCCUCACUCUUAUCCCGGCACUCAGGUAUUCGAAAAUGCACGUGGUCCACCCUCACCCCCUCCACGUAUCCUAUAUUUUUGCCAAUAGCAAAGGAUCUUUAUGGAAGGAGGUAGGCGUCCUCUUUAUCUUUGCCUGCAAUAAAGGAUCAUUAUGGAGGGGGGCACACGAAUUUCGAUUUUCCGAAGCCGCCGCUCCUGCUGGCGCAGGUAAAUUUCUAUUAAUUACCCCGGGCCGGCUGUAAUGGAAUGCGACGCUAAUCGUACCAUCGGGGAAAACACGCAGAAACGCGUCCGUCGCAUACUGCAGAUUGAUGGGCGAGUUUUCUUUUUUCUUUAAACAAUUGUUUUAAACAAUUUGUUAAUACAUGCACACGGUUAUUGAAACAUAUAGGUAAGCUUUGGAAAAAAAGAGCGAUCGGAAUAGAAGAAAACAGA
This is a non-coding RNA of Megalopta genalis, 1182 nucleotides long. NCBI's taxonomy places the organism in Eukaryota, Metazoa, Arthropoda, Insecta, Hymenoptera, Halictidae. The record is from RefSeq and is a predicted model, not a curated record.